GGGCCACAGCUCAGUGGAAGAACAUCUGCCUUGCAAGCAGAAGGUACUAGAUUCAAUCCCCAACAUCUCCA
This is a non-coding RNA of Podarcis lilfordi (Lilford's wall lizard), 71 nucleotides long. The record is from the annotation of a GenBank genome assembly. NCBI's taxonomy places the organism in Eukaryota, Metazoa, Chordata, Lepidosauria, Squamata, Lacertidae.